This 743-nucleotide ribosomal RNA is filed under the name uncultured Flavobacteriia bacterium. RNAcentral's name for it is "bacterial SSU rRNA". It matches the Rfam family "Bacterial small subunit ribosomal RNA", at positions 60 to 795 of the family's 1533-position model. Lineage: Bacteria; Pseudomonadati; Bacteroidota; Flavobacteriia. The record is from RNAcentral.
AGUCGAGGGGCAGCGGGAGUGCUUGCACUUGCCGGCGACCGGCGCACGGGUGCGGAACGCGUAUCGAAUCUGCCUCUAUCUGGGGGAUACCCCAUGGAAACGUGGAAUAAUACCCCAUAGUAUUACUUUAUCGCAUGAUUUAGUAAUUAAAGAAUUUCGGAUAGAGAUGACGAUGCGUAUCAUUAGCUAGUAGGUAAGGUAACGGCUUACCUAGGCAACGAUGAUUAGGGGUCCUGAGAGGGAGAUCCCCCACACUGGUACUGAGACACGGACCAGACUCCUACGGGAGGCAGCAGUGAGGAAUAUUGGACAAUGGUCGAAAGACUGAUCCAGCCAUGCCGCGUGCAGGAUGACUGCCCUAUGGGUUGUAAACUGCUUUUAUACGGGAAGAAAAACACCUACGUGUAGGUGACUGACGGUACCGUAAGAAUAAGGACCGGCUAACUCCGUGCCAGCAGCCGCGGUAAUACGGAGGGUCCAAGCGUUAUCCGGAAUCAUUGGGUUUAAAGGGUCCGUAGGCGGGCUAUUAAGUCAGAGGUGAAAGUUUGCAGCUCAACUGUAAAAUUGCCUUUGAUACUGAUAGUCUUGAAUUGUAGUGAAGUGGUUAGAAUAUGUGGUGUAGCGGUGAAAUGCAUAGAUAUCACAUAGAAUACCGAUUGCGAAGGCAGAUCACUAACUAUAUAUUGACGCUGAGGGACGAAAGCGUGGGGAGCGAACGGGAUUAGAUACCCUGGUAGAAGGGC